RNAcentral lists this ribosomal RNA (497 nucleotides) under uncultured bacterium. Its description in RNAcentral is "partial 16S ribosomal RNA". It matches the Rfam family "Bacterial small subunit ribosomal RNA", at positions 28 to 507 of the family's 1533-position model. The record is from RNAcentral.
GAUGAACGCUGGCGGCGUGCCUAAUACAUGCAAGUCGAGCGAACAGACGAGGAGCUUGCUCCUCUGACGUUAGCGGCGGACGGGUGAGUAACACGUGGAUAACCUACCUAUAAGACUGGGAUAACUUCGGGAAACCGGAGCUAAUACCGGAUAACAUGUUGAACCGCAUGGUUCAACAGUGAAAGACGGUUUUGCUGUCACUUAUAGAUGGAUCUGCGCCGCAUUAGCUAGUUGGUAAGGUAACGGCUUACCAAGGCAACGAUGCGUAGCCGACCUGAGAGGGUGAUCGGCCACACUGGAACUGAGACACGGUCCAGACUCCUACGGGAGGCAGCAGUAGGGAAUCUUCCGCAAUGGGCGAAAGCCUGACGGAGCAACGCCGCGUGAGUGAAGAAGGUCUUCGGAUCGUAAAACUCUGUUAUUAGGGAAGAACAAAUGUGUAAGUAACUAUGCACGUCUUGACGGUACCUAAUCAGAAAGCCACGGCUAACUACGUG